UGUACAACGGGACCACGGAGGUAGUGCAGACACUUCUAUGAGGUACAGCUCAGUUUGCAUGUGUACAUGACGUCACUUCCGGAAACCCGAACAUUGCCGAGUGCCAAGGGGUUUGCCGAGUACAAUUUUUCGGGCACUUGGCAAACAAUCUAUUUGCCAAGUGCCAUCGAGAAAACACUCGGAAAAAAUGGCACUCGGCAAACAAGGGAGUGCCUAGAGGUUGGCACUCGGCAAAGAGGUGUUUGCCGAGUGCUAAGGGGUGGGCACUCGGCAAACAUCCCAUUUCUGAAUUUUCUAAAAAUUUUAAGAAUAGCAAACAAAGUCUAAAAAUUAUGAGAUUUGGCAAGAUGUCAUAAUAUCAUAUGUGUAGGUUGUGAGAAAAAGUUGAGGAGGUUUCGCACACUUUUUACGUGCUUACAAACCGAUACAUCUCCGAAGAAAAAUCAUAGAGUUGAGAAUGAUCCGAUAAGAAUUGGAGUCAAAUUGAUGGUCGAAUUGUUGUUUGAGUUCAAAAUUUUUUGUAUAGGCAAUAGAUAACAUAGAUUGCAUAACGUGAAAUUUUGGUAAUUUUUCAAGUCCAUUUGGUAUUUUUAAUUUUUUUUACUUAAUUAUUUUUCGAGUGUAUUUUAUUGGCACUCGGCAAAAAGAGGUUUUGCCGAGUGCCAUAAAAAUACACUCGGCAAAACGUCUCGGAUGAAUUUUGAAUUAGAAUUUUUGGAGUAUUUCAAAUGACCUCGGAUGAAGAAACUCACAACAGCAAAGUUGUAGAUCUCGAAAAGUUAAGAAACUUUGUAGUUCACAACUUUUUUUAUUUGAAUGCAUUUAGGAUUUCAAAUAUGUGUUUGAAUUUCUCAAAUUUGAAAUUCAAAUUUUGCAAACGACAUCGGAUCAAAAAACUUACAACAUCAAAGUUGUAGAUCUCGAAAAGUUAUGGAACUUUGUAGUUCAAAAGUUUUUUAUUUGAAUACGUUUAGGGCCUCAAACAAGCAAUUUUAUCUCGAAUUAGUAUAAUAUGUGGAGAAUCAAAACAGAAUCUAGACAUAUGUAAUACAUGGUUGGAGUGGUAGAGGUGGCUACACGCGAAGCAAGAGGUCACGGGUUCGAAUCAAGGCAGCCGCGUAGCGCGCGAUUUAACGCGAAAUAAUAGCGAGACUUGGGAUUUGGGACAUUGGAUGAUUGGUGUGAUUACCGGGUGAAAAUAAAAUAUUUUGCUAUUUUUAAACGCUGUUUUUCUAAUCUGGUUUCGAAAAGUUUGCCGAGUGCUUUUUAUACUCGGCAAAGACUUUGCCGAGUGCCCGAAAAAAGACACUCGGCAAAGGUGACUUCGCCGUCACUUUUUUUACCGAGUGCGGUUUGCCAAGUGCCACACUCGGCAAACCCUUUGCCGAGUGUAAAAGGGCCUUUGCCGAGUGUAUUCGACACUCGGCAAACAAGGCCAGUCCGGUAGUGCGUUAAAUAUGUUGUGAAGGAUAUUUAUUCGACAUACACCCCGUUCGCCAGGCUGGAGCUGGAGGCUGGAGCUGGAGUUGUGUGAGAGAAAAACACUGUUGCCUGGCUGGUGGCUGGAGGCUGGAGCUAGAGUUGUAUGAGUGAGAAAUACUGCAGAGGCUGGAGCAGCCUCCACCAGCCGAACGGGGUGAUAAUUAACGGUUUUAUCUGUGCAGCUCUUUCAACAGAUCCUUCCACCAGCGCCGUUUGGGAAUCAGCAGACCAGUUUUAUUCAGAGGUUUGGAGUGCCAGGACGAGCAGCUUAUGAAUGCGGAAGGUGUCAUUACUGAGUUUAGGAUAAUGUAGCUCCCAUUCGUCAUGCGGGUUGAUCUCCCAGUCCCAACCAGUGUAAAAAGAGGCGGCACAACGGUACAGAUUUUGAAUUAGAAGCUUGUGGAAAUGUUUAUACAAUUCGAACCGGUCGGACGAGUGUCCGGGGUCAAGGAAAUAAGCUUCCAUUGCACUAAUAUUGUAGAAGUACGAGCACCAGUACCCGUGGAUGAUGACAGGAAUAACAAGCUGAGGAGACAGAGAGGUGCUGUCAGAAAAAAUGAAAAACAAAUUCGGCAAAAGAUAAAUGUACAUGAUUAUAAACAAACUACCAACCCUACUAAAACAGUUGACGGCGAAUUUACCAUUGUACAGUGAGGAACACUGUAUUCAGGAGCCGUGAAUUGGUUGAAAACAUUUUUGCAAGACUCAGGAGAAAAAUAUCCUAAUGCCAACAUCUGUUCAAUUCAAUGUAAUCGUAUUUAAUAUUUAUUUAAAGUCAGCUUAGCACAGAAUAACAUAAUUUAUAGAAACUCUAUGGAGAACUUAAAUUUUACUUACGGCAAAGCUAGAUUCGAAGAAAUGCCUCCAACGAACUGGUGUGUCGUUGCGCUUAUUAAUAGCAUCUAACUAAUUGAACCUCCUUAUGAUCACAUCAAUAACGUCAUGAUCAAGCACCUUGGAUCCAAACAGAUUUUCAGUGAGUUCUGUGCUAGUGAGCGCAAGAUAGCGUGGUACUCCCUCUAUUCAGUUUUGAUUGAUAUAUUUCCAUAUGGCACAAUGACCAAGGGCACCACAAGUGUGCUUAUCAAUCUAAUAAAUGCAACA
Panicum virgatum (switchgrass) is the source of this 2586-nucleotide long non-coding RNA. RefSeq lists it as uncharacterized. The record is from RefSeq and is a predicted model, not a curated record. NCBI's taxonomy places the organism in Eukaryota, Viridiplantae, Streptophyta, Magnoliopsida, Poales, Poaceae. The transcript has 2 exons.